UACGUAGGGGGCGAGCGUUGUCCGGAAUUACUGGGCGUAAAGCGUGCGCAGGCGGUUGUGCAAGACCGAUGUGAAAUCCCCGGGCUUAACCUGGGAAUGGCAUUGGUGACUGCACGGCUAGAGUGUGUCAGAGGGGGGUAGAAUUCCACGUGUAGCAGUGAAAUGCGUAGAGAUGUGGAGGAAUACCGAUGGCGAAGGCAGCCCCCUGGGAUAACACUGACGCUCAUGCACGAAAGCGUGGGGAGCAAACAGG
Molecule: ribosomal RNA, 253 nt
Filed under: uncultured bacterium
Lineage: Bacteria
Description: partial 16S ribosomal RNA
Rfam family: Bacterial small subunit ribosomal RNA
Source: RNAcentral